RNAcentral lists this ribosomal RNA (576 nucleotides) under uncultured eukaryote. RNAcentral's name for it is "eukaryotic LSU rRNA". The stretch from base 182 to 335 matches the Rfam family "5.8S ribosomal RNA". The record is from RNAcentral.
AACAAGGUCUCCGUUGGUGAACCAGCGGAGGGAUCAUUAUCGAGUUAUUCAACUCCCAAACCCUAUGUGAACUUACCACUUGUUGCUUCGGCGCGCGCUUCGGCGCCGCCGAGGACACUUAAACUCUUUGUUUUUAUAAGCAUUUCUGAGUGGCCGAAAGGCAAAAAUACAAAUGAAUCAAAACUUUCAACAACGGAUCUCUUGGUUCUGGCAUCGAUGAAGAACGCAGCGAAAUGCGAUAAGUAAUGUGAAUUGCAGAAUUCAGUGAAUCAUCGAAUCUUUGAACGCACAUUGCGCCCGCCAGCAUUCUGGCGGGCAUGCCUGUUCGAGCGUCAUUUCAACCCUCGAGCCCGACUCUUUUGAGGACGGCUCGGCGUUGGGGGACGGCAGACUCCCCCCGGCAUCUCGCCGGGGACGCCGCCCCCGAAAUCUAGUGGCGGCCCUCCGAGGCGACCUCUGCGUAGUAACUUGUUCUCGCACCAGAAAGCUCAGAGCGGCCACGCCGUAAAACCCCAACUUUUUUCAGGUUGACCUCGAAUCAGGUAGGACUACCCGCUGAACUUAAGCAUAUCAAUA